RNAcentral lists this transfer RNA (73 nucleotides) under Pseudomonadota bacterium. RNAcentral's name for it is "tRNA-Glu". It matches the Rfam family "tRNA". Rfam says of the family: Transfer RNA (tRNA) molecules are approximately 80 nucleotides in length. The record is from RNAcentral. Lineage: Bacteria; Pseudomonadati; Pseudomonadota. RNAcentral also lists the same sequence under 3 other names.
GGCCCGUUCGUCUAGUGGACCAGGACGCUGGCCUCUCAAGCCGGAAACAGGGGUUCGAAUCCCCUACGGGCCA